Molecule: long non-coding RNA, 2174 nt
Organism: Bombus terrestris (buff-tailed bumblebee)
Lineage: Eukaryota; Metazoa; Arthropoda; Insecta; Hymenoptera; Apidae
Exons: 2
Source: RefSeq, a predicted model, not a curated record
GGGUAGAUCGCUACUGUUUUGCCCCGAGGAUCGCGCUGCGCUGGCGCACUGGCGGCCACCGAUCAAUAACGUGCUCGCUAGUUCAGUUCCUGCUUCGUUUCCUGUCUGUUCUGCUCGCAAGACGCAACUGCCUCGGUCCAAUGCGAACGAGCGACUUUAGAAAAGACGGGGACGCGGCUGAAACUCGAGGUGGCACUCGGAGCGCGACGAUAUCCUUCAAAAGCGACUCGACUUUAUACGGCAAAGAAGUAGCGCGCUAUAGCGAAAGAAAGGAAGAGAUAAGCGAGGAUGGCACAACUCCCUCGCUUCUGCGGCUGGUGCAAUCGAGUUCUUUCGCAUUGAGUAACGUCUGACGUAACUACAGAACUGGAGAACGUGGAACCGGUUCUUCCGAAUUUUGUCAAAAUUCACGACGAUGGAAAAAGUCGAAGGUAGAACGAUACGACAGACCUAUCUUUAUGUCCGAUUAUCGCGCGCGAGAGACCCUCUAGACUCUAAACGAUCAGCGUACGAUACGCGUUGUUUAGCUGGAAACGCUCAAAUAUCUGGAAAAAUACGAGACGAUACGGAUAAAUUUUUCGAAUGGAUAGUCGUAUGGUAUUUGUCGUCUGUUUGACUCGGCGAUGACAUUGACCUUCGUCCUAGGCGAAAGGUAAAGGCGACUAUUGUUAAGGCUUUUAAACGGAUGUCACCAUUUCUGAACGUUAUCAGAAUACAACAAACUCUUAUCUUGCGCGCGCCGCCUGCGUUAAGGUGACCUGAUCCGCAACACGGCGACGCGUGAACGUGUUUUUCGCAGCGCCGCUAUUGCUAUUGCUAUGGUAUCGCCGAAACGCAAGCUUUCCAACACCGCCAAAACGAGUUUCUUUGGUUUGUUUCUGUCGCAUCGCCUGGCUUCUUUUCCUAUUCGUUCUUCCAAGUAGAGAGAUCCUACGCGUACGUACAUCUUGAUGGUUGGUUUUUCUUUUUCGAGCGAAAGGAUAGGACACUCGACUAGGAUGCGUUGCAACGUCUCCAUUUCGCUCGUUCCGCGCAGUUUGCAAUUUACAUUGUUGUUAGUAAAAUACGUAAUACCUUUGACGCUUAUCGUCUAUCCAACUUUAGGUGGGUAAGAGGUACGCUCGAGCCCAAGUAUCUUGCAUCCGUUUUCUCUUUCAUCUAAGCAUCUAUAAGGUAUACAUAAUACGAAUAUGUAGAUAUCGUUAUUCGAGUUAGUCAAUAACCUGUCUCAUCCUAUUUCACGCUUCGUUCGUUGUGUAUUUUAAUUGCGUAUUUCGUUGAUCGCGGCCGUUAACGACCGUAAGAAAUAGUCGACGCGACCUUGAAUAAAAACCAAAGAAACAACAAAAAGGAAAACAUCGAUCGUUCCUUUAGAUUUCGUGGAUCGGACGUCUGCGUUGCAGAGGAAUGCUAACGGCCGCGUGUACGCACACCUUUUCCGGGACAGCGCGAAGCGGUAAGCCCUUUGGGAAUAAUUCUUCCGCGUACACGAGGCCGUGGAAAACAAAACCCGAUCACGUAGGUGCGCGCAUGGGCGUGAGUAUGCUCGCGACAACGUGUCCCGUUUUUGAAAUCGCCCCUACGUGAUCGAGGUAGAUCCGCUUGAAUUUCUCAGGAGGCAAGCGAUUAGCAAUCGGCCGUACCGAGACUCUGCCAAAGAUUACCAACGAGUUACGGCCCGAUAUUCUUGUCUGUUUUUUAAAUUUUACGUUGGAUUCGGUCACCAACCGAAUGCUAAUUCGCCCCAACUUACAUAACCAACACACGCGUACCUGCGAAAGCUAAUCAAAUUUCAUGGUUCUACGCUCGUUCUUCUCCUCCUCCUGCUCCUCCUGCUCCUCCUUCUGUUAUUCUUAUCGAAAGAAUAUACGAUGAGUCAGAGCUUGGAACACGAAAUGAAAAGUCGUUCGAUCGAUUUAAUCGAUUCGUUCGACGUGUACUUCCAAAUAUCGUUAAAAUAUCCUAGAACGUCCGUAUGAAUGGCUUUUCGUUGUACGUUUUAGUAGUUUAUAGUUUCGUUUAGUCCUUUAUACUAUCGUUAGUUUGUAGCUUAAUGUUACGCUUUGUAUUCGUCUCUAGAUAUUUCGUUGUUGAAUCGGAUGAAAGGAAAUAGACAGAGUGAAACGUUGUCGUCCUGCAAGAGUAAAUAGGAUAAGAACGCGUAGUUAUUUCAA